GGAGGAGGGCGAUGGAGGAGAGGAGAGGAAUUAAGGUUUGGAGAAGGUUGGCCAAUUUGAUUAAAUGUAUUUGGAUGUAGUGGAUGAUGGUGUAUCGAUCUCUUGCUCCUAUUUAUAGUUGUAAAUAUAUAUUAAUAAUGGUAUCAUUCAAUCAUUAUACUUUAGGCCGGCCGGGCCGGAUCCUCUAUUCCAAAUUCUAUGUCUCAUUGUUCAUAUUCACUAUUAAUUUCACUAUUUCAAUAAUUAAAAAAAUUCAUAGAGUUUGGGGCAGAGGAUCCCGUUUGAAUCCCACAUGGAUCCUCUGUCCCAUAACUUAUUGUGUUCCUUCCCAUUAUUAAUCUCGAUAUUAUAUUUCUACUUUGGAGUUAAUUCAUUAUAAACCCAUGAAAGAUCAGACGAAAUUCAUCCAAUAAACAUUUAUAAAUUUAUAUUUAAAUUUUGUUUCGCGGGUAUCUGAUAGAUAAUAGGUAUUCGUGGGUGGCGAAUUUGGGUAGCAUUUGAUAUUCAUAGAUAGUUUCAUGAUUAAAAUCCAAUAUUCAUUUAGUUCACGGGUAUGGUAUGACAGCCACUAUCUGUGUACGUCAUACCUGAUUGCCAGUAUGACAAAUAUAAAAGUUGUGAGAUGCACAGCAGCUUAAUUAUUCAAAUAGAAAUAUCAUCACAUGUGCAUUGAUAUUUCACAAAAUAAAUACUACUACUAAUAAAUACUCCCUCCGUCCACCAAAGAUAUGCCACUUUACUUUCGGUACGAGUUUUAAUAAAAUGUGAGUGAAGUUGGUAGUGGAGUAAGGGUCCCACUUUAAAUGUGAGUGGAAUGGUAUGGACCUUACUACUAAAAAUGGAUGUGGCAUAUUUUUCGUGGACGAACGAGAAAGAAAAUUGUGGCAUAUCUUUGGUGGACGGAGGGAGUAGUACUCAUUGAUAAUGCAUGCCAACACAUGGUUCUUGCAAGUCAUAUAUAUACCUCAUCAGCAAUAUAGUAAAAUGAUGAUUUGACAACCAGAUUAAGACACCAAUUAUUCUUGUCGGGACACAGACAUAUAUGCAUAUAGAAUUAAUAUUAUUUACUAUUUCGUUUAUACACGUGAAUUAUGCUUUGGAUGCAACAUCGCCACGUCUCUUUCAUUUAUACUUCUCUAGUGUAUUGCGGACAAAAUAGUUAGUGUCUUUAAGAAAUUAAAAAUUUUCAAAUACAUAAGAAAGAAUAAUUAAUCUAAUUGGUGCGCCGGCAACUAAAACUUUUUUCAAUUCACUUUAUAUUUUAUAUACUCCCUCCGUCCACGAUUUAAUGCCCCAUUUUAGUGUGGGCACGGAGACUAAGAAAACUGAAAAAGGUGAUGUGAAUGAAAUAUAAGGGUAGUUGACUAAAGUGAUAAAGAUGCUGUGAGUGGGUUCACUAGUGAUAAAGUAUAGGAAAUAUAGAAUAUAAAAAUGAUAAAGGUGUUUUAAGUUGGGUCCAUUAGUGGCAAAGAGUAAUAAAUAUAGAAAAAGAAGAGUAAAAAAGUACAAAAAGCAUAAUAGGGCUUUAAUUUGUGGACAAAAAAUUAAGAGCAAGUAGGGCUUUAAAUUGUGGACGGAGGGAGUAUUUAACAUUACAAGUCAAUUGCUUGCAGAAUUUGAGCUUGUCUCCCGUGAUGGAGACCUCACCAUGCGGCAACCCGUGCCUGCGCCUGCCUUUUUUCUUCCCGUCUUGCUCUAUCCAGAUAUUAUACGUGAUCCAACUCUUUCCAGAUAUUAUACGUAAAUGAUAAUUUUACUAACAAAAAUUACACUUUUUAUCAAUAACAAAUGAAACUAUGCAUACAAAACAGGAGGUAAAUGAUAUUUUUCUUAAUAACAACUGAUACUUUUUCAAUGCAAAUAAUACUUCGCAAAUGAUAUUUUAAUAUAAAAGUAAAUGAUACUUUGUAUAAAAAUAAAUGUUAUAUUACAAAUGACACUUUUAAUGCAUACCAAUGACACUUUUAAUAACAAAAAUUGAGAAAAAAAAAUUAGAAUUCGGCCUUAAUUAAAAUUUGGACAACAUUUAUUUGGGCAAAGAAGAAAAACACCUGAAUUUUUUUUUUUCCUUUUUUGAGAGAGAAAAACUCAUGAAAUUUCAUGCAAAAGGUAAUGCAUAGCCAACCGGGCUCAAUCAUCUUUCGGCGGUUUUGGUUUGAUUCUUCCAACAUCUAGGGUAGCAUUCACACAAAAUCAACUCGUGUUCAAAAAUCUGAAAUUAAAAUUAACGAUGUGUCUCAGUAUAGAGAUAAGAACAUACCCCUCAAAUGGUUCGAGCCAAGGUCUAAUUCCUUCAGCAGUGUGAUAUUCCAAAUUUGAGUAGGCAUAUAUCCGCCAAAGUUGUUGUCUGACAAGCGAAUACUCUCAAGUUGUGGACAUUGGUACAAACUCGAUGGUAUAUCUCCUUCCAAAUUGUUAAAGGAUAGGUUCACUAGUUUAAGUCUUUGAAGGUUAUUGUACGUGCNUAGACAACAAGAAAUAUCUAUUGUCUAUUCUAUGACAAAAAAAUUAAAAAAUUCUAAUAUAUCUGCAUCCCUGUAUUACAAUACCAAUAUAUAUGAAAAAAUAAAAAUAAUUAAAAAUCAAAUAAUCAAACAAUACUUAUAAACCACUAAUACUCACAAUCAAAUAUUUACACAUCAGUGUAAAUAUUGGGUUCGAGUCCUCUGCGUGUGUUGAUCAAGCGGUAAGGGGUUAAUGCCUAAGGUCAAAGGUCUGGGAUUCGAGUCCCCUGUGGUGUAGCCUUUUAAUUUCGUUAUUUAAUAUUGUAAAUUUAUAAAAAAAAAAAAGUAUAUUUACACAUCAACAAUUGUAUUAUCUUUAAUACGCCUUCAUUCAUCUAAUAAAAAAAAUCUCUAAUAAAAUCUCCAACUAACUCCGGUCAUGAUCAUCUCUUGAAGGCGGAGGAAGGUGGAGUCCGUCGGGAAAUGGGUACUGCCUUGAUAGAUGAGAUCUUUCGGCUGGUCGCCCCAGAAGUCGUAGGUGAAGGACGUCGUUUGGGACAACGCCGUGUUGGAAACGGAGAGGAGGAGGACGAUGGAGGAGAGGAGAGGAGUUAAGGUUUGAAGAAGCUGGUUGGCCAUGGCUUAAUUGAUUUAGAUUUAGAGAUGUGGUGGAUGAUGGUGGUAUCGAUCUCUUGCACCUAUUUAUACUAGUAUGGUUCAUGCCUGUUAAUAAUUGUAUAUAUCAAUCAUCGUGCAUCUAUCCCAAAUUAUAUGUCUUAUUAUUCACUAAUUAGAUGGAUUAAAUCCUGAUUAGUAACCAUAAAAUUAAACUGUCAAUGAGGCCUUGCUCUAGUGGCAAAGCUGUGACACCGAAUAACUUUUCUUUGUGAAAUGUCUUGGGUUCAAUCUCGCCUGCAUGCGGUGAUGUGUGUCCAUUUUAGGUGGUGUGGUAUUCUUGUCUGCGUGCGGUGUUGUAUUGUUUAGUGUUGAGGUCCCACAUGCAGAGCGUUCUUGCCUGUGUACGUGUCACAGCCCAAAACCAUUUAUUUUCUUUACAAAUUUUAUAUAUGAAAAUUAUUUAAUUUUUAAGUUAUAGAGUUUUUGAAAUAUAUAUAGUAUCAAUUUUAUGUUAACUUAGUCGUGUCCCUAAUUAAAAGAAUGACUUUAAAAUAAAACUUAAGCCUUAAAAAUUUAAUCUACAUUCAUAUAUAACUGAAAUUACAUGCAUGUCUAAAUAUUAUUUAUAAUUAUCAAUAACAAGAUUAAUGAUUCUAUAUCUCUAUGUUUAUACAUGUAUUCACGUAUGACAUAGUAUAUAUUAGCUAUUAAGUUAAAAACUAAUAAAAUACUACACUUUUGCAUAGGAUAUAUAUUUAAUUAGUAGUAGGAUAGGACACGUGUAUUAAUUUUAAGGGCAAGUAAUCAAACUUUUGAAUGAUUCAUCAUGCUUAAAAAAAAAAGAGACCUAGAUAGAUGAUUCAUCAGAUUCAAAAACAAGUAUAAAUAGACUUCGGGUUUGAAAUUUUAAUUAAUUUGCAACAACAAUUCAAACUGACUGUAUUAAGGUAAGUAGUUACAGAUUUCAUACACAUAUUAUAUGAUUUCGCACACAUAUUAAGGUAAGUAUAUAUAAAUAUUUUUUAAAAUCAUAUAUUAUAUAAUAAUUAUAUUUAAGUUUUAUAUUAUUCUUUAUAAACUAUUGUUUCAUUCUAUAUAAUUAGGUGUGGCACGACUAGGACGUAACUUUCUAUUGAAUUUCUCAAGUUAAUCUUAGAGUUCAAGUUUCAGGUGUGAGAUUUAUUUAAAUACAUGUCGUACGUGGUUAUUUAUUGUCCAUUUUAAUAAGAUGUGUUUACCAUAUGUGUUAUGACGCAUAUUUUUAGGAUAUCACUAGGUGCCCAUAAAUAGGAUCCAGGACUUCACCGUCCUUGGAUUGCCACAAUGCGAUUUGAGGUUUAUUUUGAGGAUGUCGUUAGGGGCCCGUACAUAGGGUCCAGGACUUUAAUAGUCAUUGGGUUGCCAUAGUGCAAAUAUUGAGGAUAUAUAUGAAGUGACCGUAUGUGUUACCGUUUCAUUAACGUGGACAAUGAUUGCAUGUUUAAGAGACAAUAACCAAUUUUUCAGACAUUUGUGAACAAAAUGAAGCAUGUUUAGAGAUCCUUAAUACAGGUGUACGAAAUGAUGGAUAAAUAAGUUUGUGAAACAAAUUUCACCAUACCUAACCCCACAAUUAUUUGCGGUCGAAUUUCCUCGUCACAGGAAAAAGAGAUGAUGACAAAAGGGAAAAAAUUAAUUAACAAAGUAGAAGAUGCAUGACAACUGUAAAAGAAAAAUAAUGCUACUAAUUAAAUAGUCCAAACUUCAUACGUUUCAUAUCAUAAGUGGCAGUUCUAUUUUUUUUUUUGCGAAUGUGAACAAAAUAACGAAUAAUUUUUAAAGUAAUAGUAAUAAGGAGAUGUGUUUUGACAGAAAACGACAUGAGCGGCCUAAAAAUAAGAGGGAAAAAGAUAAUCAUAUAAAUAUUCAAAAUCAAACGGAUUGGCAUGUAUUCAUCAUUUUUUAUUUUUUAUUUUGAUAAUUUAACAGUACUCCCUCCGUCCGUCAAAAGUAGACCACUUUGGUUGGGCACGGGAUUUAAUAAAAUUAGUGAUGAUUUUGAUGUAGUAGAGAAAGAGUUCCACCACUUUAUGAGAUGUGUGGUUGAGAUUGAAUUUGUUGUGAUUUUUUUGUAAAUAAAGAGUGUUUGUAAGGAUAAAAGAUUAAAGUGGGUGGUGGGACCAUUUCCAUAAAAGGAAAGUGGUCUACUAUUUGCGGACGCCCAAUAUAGUAAAAGUAGUCUACUUUUGGCGGACGGGGAGAGUAUUAAAUAAAUAAAUUUAAAGGUUGCACCCCUUACUGCUUGGCUUUUAGAUUAUGUUAUAAUAAUAAAAUUAACAGCACGUUUACAAUAUAAAAUUAAUUAUGAUAAAUACAAUAUAUUAAUAAUAAAUACUCAAUUACCUCUUAACAUAAUUCGCGCAUCAUGGCUUUUAGCUUAUAUUAUAAAGAUAUAAUAUGUUGUCUAUAAUAAUCGACGGAAGGUAAUAGACAACAUGUUUUAUAUGUUGUCUAUAAUAAUAUAGACAGUAGAUCUAGUGUUAUAGAUAACAAUUAAUACUUGUUGUCUAUAUGAUGAUAGACACCAAAAAUCUCUGUUGUCUAUUCUAUGACAAAAAAAUUUAAAAAAAUUCUAAUAUAUUUACAUCCCUGUAUUACAAUACCAAUAUAUAUGAAAAAAUAAAAAUAAUUAAAAAUCAAAUAAUCAAACAAUACUUAUAAACCACUAAUACUCACAAUCAAAUAUUUACACAUCAACAACUGUAUUAUCUUUAAUUACGCCUUCAUUUAUCUAUUAAAAAAAAUCUCUAAUAAAAUCUCUAACUAACUCCGGUCAUCAUCUCUUGAAGGCUUAGAAAAUGUCCAAAUACAGCGGCACAUGCUCAUUAUUGUGUGAGCGAUGAGAACUUUGCGCUGAACCUAUAAAGUAACUAUACUUAACUGGUAAAGUAAUUGUAUCCCGUGAAUCUAAAGGAAGACUACACACGUUGAUAGAGUUUGAAAGAAAAGAAUAAAGAGAAUGAAAAUCCAAAGAAUUUGCUUCUUCCGUUGAACAAUCCCUACACAACAUUGAAAUAUCAAUGAAAAUAAUGGCUAUCGUAUACUCCCUCCAUCCAUGAAAGAACUUCAUAGGAGGGAGUGACACGGGUUUUAAGAAAAAAUAUUGUUAAGUGUAUUGAGAGUGGAUAAAAGGUAGUUGAGUGUAUUGGGAGUGGUGAAAAUGUGUUAUAGUUAAUAUUGAGAGUUGUGAAAAGUGAAAAGUAAGAGGAUUAUAAGUGGUGGGGUAUAGUCCAAAAAUAGGUAGGAAGUUCUUUUGUGGACGUCCCAAAAAGGAAAGAUAUGAAGUUCUUUCGUGGACGGAGGGAGUAUUAUUUUGCAGCAGCAACCACGUUUGAAAACUCGAUCCCUCUGUUCUUGAAUUUGUGAAAUUUCCGACUGAUUUAUUAGAUUCACCAUUUAUUUCAGUUUAAUUAGUCUAUAUAUAGAUAUUUCUUAUAUUAUUAAAUUGUUAACCUCAUGGUAGAUUUCAAGAUUUGAAAAUUCAACAAAGAGCUUGAGAAUUAUUGAGAUUGGAAGGGGAAGAUGAAACAUAAUUGGGUGAAAUUAGAAACCAAUUAAAGUCACAAGAUUGAACAAAAACAUAACUUAAAAACACAAAAUAAGCAAAUCGUAGAUGCAGUAUCUUGCAAGAAAAAGUUCAUAUUCCCAAGGCUAUGAUGAGCACGAAUUAGGGUGUGUCUGCAUUUUAUCCCUCUAAAUAGAGGAAUAACAAAAUUUUAUUCUUUAAAUGUUUGCUUUCUUAUCACACAUUCUACACAAACACCAUUUUUUCUUCCUUAUUUUCACUUCAAGGAGGANUAAUAUUAUCCCUCCAAUUUUGGUGUGAUAAUAUUAUCUCUUCUUGAAGUGAAAAUAAGGAAGAAAAAAUGGUAUUUGUGUAGGAUGUGGGAUAAGAAAGCAAACAUUUAAAGGUAUAAAUUUUUGUUAUUCCUCAUUUAGAGGAAUAAAAAGCAAACACACAUUAGAGUCUACUUACAAUUUAGGCGCAGGCUGUGCGAGAAUUACUUAGUCGAAUAGGAUCCUAAGUAUUUAUAUUUCUCAUGUUCUUGUGUAUUUUUUUACUGAUUCACUAUUGGAUUAACAAGAAUUAUCUUACUUUAAAUUUCUUGCUUUAAAAAAAAAAAAGAAUUAUCUUACUUCAUGUAUGGUAUGCCAACUGUUCGAUAAAGGUCCUUUUAGAAAUCUUCUAUUGAUUACCUUGCGAAGACCACAAAACUAGACACACCCAAAAGCAUUCUUGCAUAGUUUAUACAUAGAGAUGGCCGAUUGAUGAUCGUCUUAUUUGUAGACUUAACGCGAGCAGACUCGAUCGCUUAGUCCUUAUUGAUUUACGACACACAUGCUCACACACACACAUACACACAUCACAAAAUCACACAAAUUGACGGAUAAUGUUGCCGUUCAGCUCCUUCCUGAACCUCACCGCGGCAUUUUUCUGCACCAUAGUGGCCGUGAAAUACCACGAGACGAUGUCAUGGACGGCGACGUGUUGUCCGGUGGCGGCGGAUAGCCCGACCUGAACCUGCUGAGGAACAAAGUCGCUCAAAUCGUACUCAUAGUUGACAUCAAAUGUCUGCGAGCCGGCGGUGACUUUCACGGAGAUCAUCCUUGUGGCUCCGACGUAGUUGAUCCGCGCAGUCACCUGCUGCCCGAGUAUGGAGUUGUCGACCUUCGUCGUGUUGCUGGAUGCCCUAGAGCCGAAGUCGAUGCCGAUGUGGGGAUAGAGCGGAUCCCACGCGCCGUUGACGUAGGUGUCGAUUUCGACGGCGAAGACCGAGGGGCUGUUGCCGUUGGAGCCAAAGAUUCCGAGGUUGGCUCCGUUGGAGCCAGGGGGGAUGGUGGAACCGACGGGGGCAAUGAAGAAGGCGAGGCCGUCGGCAGGCUCGUUGUCGGCGCCCGGGGUGAUGAUGAAGUUCACAGUGGUUUCGAAGUCGACCUGCCCACCGGACUGCGAGAAUUGGACCGGGUUCGAGUGCAAGACGCGGCCGACUUGUGAGGGCUGUGCGUCUGUGAGGCGGAGGAAGGUGGAGUCCGUCGGGAAAUGGGCGCUGCCUUGAUAGAUGAGAUCUUUCGGCUGGUCGCCCCAGAAGUCGUAGGUGAAGGACGUCGUUUGGGACAACGCCGUGUUGGAAACGGCGAGGAGGAGGGCGAUGGAGGCGAGGAGAGGAGUUAAGGUUUGAACAAGCUGGUUGGCCAUGGCUUAAUUGAUUUAGAUUUAGAUUUAGAGAUGUGGUGGAUGAUGGUGGCCAGGUAUCGAUCUCUUGCACCUAUUUAUACUAGUAUGGUUCAUGCCUGUUAAUAAUUGUAUAUAUCAAUCAAUCAUCGUGCAUCUAUCCCAAAUUAUAUGUCUUAUUAUUCACUAAUUAGAUGGAAUAAAUCCUAAUUAGCAAUCUUAAAAUUACACCGCCAAUGAGGCCUUGCUCUAGUGGUAAAGCUGUGGCACCGAAUAACUUUUCUUUGUGAAAGGUCUUGGGUUCAAUCUCGCCUGCAUGCGGUGAUGUUUGUCCAUUUUAGAUGGUGUGGUAUUCUUGCCUGCGUGCGGUGUUGUAUUAUUUAGUCUUAGGCGUUCUUGCCUGUGUGCAUAUCACUGUGUGACAAUUAAAAGAAUGACUUUAAAAUAAAAGUUAAGCCUUAAAAAUUUAAUCUACAUUCAUAUAUAACUGAAAUUACAUGCAUGUCUAAUUUUUUUAAUAUCAUAACAAGAUAAGAUUUAUUAAAUAAUUCAGAUGCAUAAAUAAAAAGUUAAUCUAUAAACACAGUAUAGAUAUAUUAUCAAUGAUAGGCCGUGUAUAAGUCUUAAUCUGUAAAACUAUAUCAUCCCAGCCUUAAACGACUACCAUUCCUGCUUUCCCAGAGCAACCACACUGUUCCCACCCACAAAGCUUUAAGCAGUACAUGCAUGUCUAAAUAUUAUUUAUAAUUAUCAAUAACAAGAUUAAUGAUUCUAUAUCUCUAUGUUUAUACAUAUAUUCACGUAUGACAUAGUAUAUAUUAGCUAUUAAGUUAAAAACUAAUAAAAUACUACAGUUUUGCAUAGGAUAUAUAUUUAAUUAGUAGUAGGAUAGGACACGUGUAUUAAUUUUAAGGGCAAGUAAUCAAACUUUUGAAUGAUUCAUCAUGCUUAAAAAAAAAAAGAGACCUAGAUAGAUGAUUCAUCAGAUUCAAAAACAAGUAUAAAUAGACUUCGAGUUUGAAAUUUUAAUUAAUUUGCAACAACAAUUCAAACUGACUGUAUUAAGGUAAGUAGUUACAGAUUUCAUACACAUUAUAUGAUUUCGCGCACAUACGUAUGUAUAUAUAAAUAUUUUUUAAAAUCAUAUACUCCCUCCGUCCCCAAAAUAAGUUCCUCUUUGGGGACGGCACGGAUUUUAAGGAAAAGUGGUAAAGUGUAUUAAUAGUGGAGAAAAAUAUGUUAUAAUUAGUAUUGGAAGUUGUGAAAAGGUGAAAAAGUGUUAUAAUUAGUAUUGGGAGUGGUGAAAAAGUGAAAAGUAAGAAUAAAUAAAGUAUUAUUAGUGGUGGGGUAGUUGUCCAAAAAUGGAAAAAAAGAAAGAGGAACUUAUUUGGGGGACAUCCCAAAAUGGAAAAAGAGGAACUUAUUUCAGGGACGGAGGGAGUAUUAUAUAAUAAUUAUAUUUAAGUUUUAUAUUAUUCUUUAUAAACUAUUGUUCCAUUCUAUAUAAUUAGGUGUGGCACGACUAGGACGUAACUUUCGAUUGAAUUUCUCAAGUUAAUUUUCAAGUUCAAGUUUCAGGUGUGAGAUUUAUUUAAAUACAUGUCAUGAUUAUUCAUUGUCCAUUUUAAUAGUAUGUGUUUACCAUAUGUGUUAUGACGCAUAUUUUGAGGACAUCGCUAGGAGCCCAUAAAUAGGGUCCAGGACUUCACCGUCCUUGGAUUGCCACAAUGCGAUUUGAGGUUUAUUUUGAGGAUGUCGUCAGGGGCCCGUAAAUAGGGUCCAGGACUUUAAUAGUCAUUGGGUUGCCACAGUGCGAAUAUUGAAGAUAUAUAUGAAGUGACCGUAUGUGUUACCGUUUCAUUAACGUGGACAAUGAUUGCAUGUUUAAGAGACAAUAACCAAUUUUUCAGACAUUUGUGAACAAAAUGAAGCAUGUUUAGAGAUCCUUAAUAAAGGUGUACGAAAUGAUGGAUAAAUAAGUUUGUGAAACAAAUUUCACCAUACCUAACCCCACAAUUAUUUGCGGUCGAAUUUCCUCGUCACAGGAAAAAGAGAUGAUGACAAAAGGGCAAAAAUUAAUUAACAAAGUAGAAGAUGCAUGACAACUGUAAAAGAAAAAUAAUGCUACUAAUUAAAUAGUCCAAACUUCAUACGUUUCAUAUCAUAAGUGGCAGUUCUAUUUUUUUUUUGCGAAAGUGAACAAAAUAACGAAUAAUUUUUAAAGUAAUAGUAAUAAGGAGAUGUGUUUUGACAGAAAACGACAUGAGCGGCCUAAAAAUAAGAGGGAAAAAGAUAAUCAUAUAAAUAUGGGUUAAUUGCCUCUAAAUACACCACCUUUCCUUGAAUUCUACAAUUGCACAUCACCUUUAAAAUCCGCCCUUAAAUACACCACCUUUCCUUGAGUUCUACAAUUGCACAUCACCUUUAAAUCCGCCCCAAAAUACAUCAUCUUUAUAUUUUUUCUGUUUUUGCACAUGACUAAAAAAUUCUCAAGAAAUAAAUUAAAGUGUUAAUUUAUAAAUUUAAAUAUCUUUUUAGCAGCGAAAACAUAAUAAAAUAAAAUUCUUUAUAAAGUUUAAAAUCAUAUAUAUAUAUAUAUAUAUAUAAGUAUUUUCGUAAAGAAAUAAAUUCUCUAAUAAAUUUUUAGAAAGAACUUGAAUUAAAAAAAUAAACAAGUCAUGACAUUAAGAAAAUAAAAUGAAAUUUUUAUUUUAAUAAAUUUCACACGAAUUCGAUAUAAUUUGGAAUUUAGAGUUACAAUAAUCAGAAGUACCACAUGAAUAAUAUAAUGAGUUUGAAAGAAAUUUUUUUUAAAGAGGUUCGACACGCCCAUUCGACUUUCCACGCGCCUCCAAUGUCAUUUACCUGAAAUAUUAANUAUAUAAGUAUUUUUCGUAAAGAAAUAAAUUCUCUAAUAAAUUUUUAGAAAGAACUUGAUUAAAAAAUAAACAAGACAUGACAUUAAGAAAAUAAAAUGAAACUUUUAUUUUAAUAAAUUUCACACGAAUUCGAUAUAAUUUGGAAUUUAGAGUUACAAUAAUAAAAAGAACCACAUAAAUAAUAUAAUCAGUUUGAAAGAAAUAUAUAUAUAUUUUUUUAAAGAGGUUCGACGCGCCCAUUCGACUCUCCACGCGCUACCAAUGUCAUUACCUGAAAUACUAAAUAUGGGAUAAGCAUACAUAAUAUACUUAGUGUGGGAACAUGCAAUUAUUGUCCACGUUAAUAAAAUAGUAACACAUACGAUCAUAACAUUCAAAACGACACAAUUUUGCCAAUAUGGAAGCCACGUCAUUUAAAGUGGUAACACCCUAAUCUAACUAAAGUGUUAAAUAUAAAUUUAAAGCGGAAAUAUAAUAAAAUAAAGUUCUUUAUAAAAAUAAAUAAAGAAUUUUAUUUUAUUAUAUUUCCGCUGCUAAAAAAGAUAUUUAAAAUUUAUAAAUUAACACUUUAAUUUAUUUCUUGAGGAUUUUUAAGUCAUGUGCAAAAACAGAAAAAAAAUAUAAAGGUGAUGUAUUUUGGGGCGGAUUUAGAAUUCAAGGAAAUGUGGUGUAUUUAGGGGCGGAUUUUAAAGGUGAUGUGCAAUUGUAGAAUUCAAGGAAAGGUGGUGUAUUUAGGGGAAAUUAACCCUAUAAAUAUUCAAAAUCAAACGGAUUGGCAUGUAUUCAUCAUUUUUUAUUUUUUAUUUUGAUAAUUUAACAGUAUUAAAUAAAGAAAUUUAUAGGCUGCGUCCCUUACUGCUUGGCUUUUAGAUUAUGUUGUAAUAAUAAAAUUAAAAGCACGUUUACAAUAUAAAAUUAAUUAUGAUAAAUACAAUAUAUUAAUAAUAAAUACUCAAUUACCUCUUAACAUAAUUCGCGCAUCAUGGCUUUUAGCUUAUAUUAUAAAGAUAUAAUAUGUUGUCUAUAAUAAUCGACGGAAGGUAAUAGACAACAUGUUUUACUUCUUGUCUAUAAUAAUAUAGACAGUAGAUCUAGUGUUAUAGAUAACAAUUAAUACGUGUUGUCUAUAUGAUGAUAGACACCAAAAAUCUCUGUUGUCUAUUCUAUGACAAAAAAAUUUAAAAAAAUUCUAAUAUAUUUACAUCCCUGUAUUACAAUACCAAUAUAUAUGAAAAAAUAAAAAUAAUUAAAAAUCAAAUAAUCAAACAAUACUUAUAAACCACUAAUACUCACAAUCAAAUAUUUACACAUCAACAAUUGUAUUAUCUUUAAUUACGCCUUCAUUUAUCUACUAAAAAAAAUCUCUAAUAAAAUCUCUAACUAACUCCGGUCAUCAUCUCUUGAAGGCUUAGAAAAUGUCCAAAUACAGCGGCACAUGCUCAUUAUUGUGUGAGCGAUGAGAACUUUGCGCUGAACCUAUAAAGUAACUAUACUUAACUGGUAAAGUAAUUGUAUCCCGUGAAUCUAAAGGAAGAAUAAACACGUUGAUAGAGUUUGAAAGAAAAGAAUAAAGAGAAUGAAAAUCCAAAGAAUUUGCUUCUUCCGUUGAACAAUCCCUACACAACGUUGAAAUAUCAAUGAAAACAAUGGCUAUCCUAUACUCCCUCCAUCCAUGAAAGAACUUCCUAGGAGGGAGUGACACGGGUUUUAAGAAAAAAUAUUGUUAAGUGUAUUGAGAGUGGAUAAAAGGUAGUUGAGUGUAUUGGGAGUGGUGAAAAUGUGUUAUAGUUAAUAUUGAGAGUUGUGAAAAGUGAAAAGUAAGAGGAUUAUAAGUGGUGGGGUAUAGUCCAAAAAUAGGUAGGAAGUUCUUUUGUGGACGUCCCAAAAAGGAAAGAUAUGAAGUUCUUUCGUGGACGGAGGGAGUAUUAUUUUGCAGCAGCAACCACGUUUAAAAACUCGAUCCCUCUAUUCUUGAAUUUGUGAAAUUUCCGACUGAUUUAUUAGAUUCACCAUUUAUUUCAGUUUAAUUAGUCUAUAUAUAGAUAUUUCUUAUAUUAUUAAAUUGUUAACCUCAUGGUAGAUUUCAAGAUUUGAAAAUUCAACAAAGAGCUUGAGAAUUAUAGAGAUUGGAAGGGGAAGAUGAAACAUAGUUGGGUGAAAUUAGAAACCAAUUAAAGUCAGGAGAUUGAAGAAAAACAUAACUUAAAAACACAAAAUAAGCAAAUCGUAGAUGCAGUAUCUUGCAAGAAAAAGUUCAUAUUCCCAAGGCUAUGAUGAGCACGAAUUAGGGUGUGUCUGCAUUUUAUCCCUCUAAAUGGAGGAAUAAUAAAAUUUUAUGCCUUUAAAUGUUUGCUUUCUUAUCACACAUUCUAAACAAACACCAUUUUUUCUUCCUUAUUUUCACUUCAAUGAGGGAUAAUAUUAUCCCUCCAAUUUUGGUGUGAUAAUAUUAUCCCUCCUACAAGUGAAAAUAAGGAAGAAAAAAUGGUACUCCCUUCGUCCCAAACGAAAUGUCCUGUUUUCCUUUUUGGGCUGUCCCAAACGAAAUGUCCUGUUUCCUUUUUUGGCAAUACACUCUCUCUCUAUACUUAAUAUUUAAAUAAUUUUCACCAACCCACUUUAUCUACUUUAUACACAUUUCUUAAUCUCCGUGCCGAAAAGAAAUGGGACAUUUCGUUUGGGACGGAGGGAGUAUUUGUGUAGGAUGUGGGAUAAGAAAACAAACAUUUAAAGACAUAAAUUUUUGUUAUUCCUCCAUUUAGAGGGAUAAAAAGCAAACACACCUUAGAGUCUAAUUACAAUUUAGGCGCAGGCUGUGUGAGAAUUACUUAGUCGAAUAGGAUCCUUAGUAUUUAUAUUUCUCAUGUUCUUGUGUAUUUUUUCACUGAUUCACUAUUGGAUUAACAAGAAUUAUCUUACUUUAAAAAAAAAAAAGAAAUGAUCUUACUUCAUGUAUGGUAUGCCAACUGUUCGAUAAAGGUCCUUUUAGAAAUAUUCCAUAGAUUACCUUGCAAAGACCACAAAACUAGACACACCCUGCAUAGUUUAUACAUAGGGAUGGCCGAUUGAUGAUCGUCUUAUUUGUAGACUUAACGAGAGCAGACUCGAUCGCUUAGUCCUUACUGAUUUACGACACACAUGCACACAUACACAGAUACACACAUCACAAAAUCACGCAAAUUGACGGAUAAUGUUGCCGGCCAGCUCCUUCCUGCUCCACGCCACGGCAUUUUUCUGCACCAUGGUGGCCGUGAAAUACCACGAGACGAUGUCAUGGGUGGCGACGUGUUGUCCGGUGGCGGCGGAUAGCCCGACCUGAACCUCCUGAGCAACAAAGUAGCUCAAAUCGUACUCAUAGCUGACAUCAAACGUCUGAUUGCCGGCGGUGACUUUGACGGAGAUCAUCCUUGUGGCUCCGACGUAGUUGAUCCGCGCAGUUACCUGCUGCUUGAGUAUGGAGCUGUCGACCGGCGUCGUCUUGCUGGAUACCCUAGAGCCGAAGUCGAUGCCGAUGUGGGGAUAGAGCGGAUCCCACGCGCCGUUGACGUAGGUGUCGAUUUCAACGGCGAAGACCCCGGGGCUGUUGCCGUUGGAGCCAAAGAUUCCGAGAUUGGCUCCGUCGGAGCCAGGGGGGAUGGUGGAGUCGACGGGGGCAAUGAAGAAGGCGAGGCCGUCGGCAGGCUCGUUGUCGGCGCCGGGGGUGAUGAUGAAGUUCACGGUGGUUUCGAAGUCGACCUGCCCAUUGGACAUCCAGAAUUGGACCGGUUCCGAGUACAUGACGCGGCCGACUUGGGACGGUUGUGCGUCUGUGAGGCGGAGGAAGGUGGAGUCCGUCGGGAAAUGGGCGUUGCCUUGAUAGAUGAGAUCUUUCGGCUGGUCGCCCCAGAAGUCGAAGGUGAACGACGUCGUUUGGGACAACGCCGUGUUGGAAACGGCGAGGAGGAGGGCGAUGGAGGCGAGGAGAGGAGUUAAGUUGGCCAUGGCUUAAUAGAUUUAGAUUUAGAGAUGUGGUGGAUGAUGGUGGUAUCGAUCUGUUGCACCUAUUUAUACUAGUAUGGUUCAUGCCUGAUAAUAAUUGUAUCAAUCAAUCAUCGUGCAUCUAUCCCAAAUUAUAUGUC
This 15271-nucleotide long non-coding RNA is filed under the name Salvia miltiorrhiza (redroot sage). RNAcentral's name for it is "long non-coding RNA (SMIL_LNC011427)". The record is from RNAcentral. Lineage: Eukaryota; Viridiplantae; Streptophyta; Magnoliopsida; Lamiales; Lamiaceae.